GCGGCGUGCCUAACACAUGCAAGUCGAACGGGAAUCUUCGGAUUCUAGUGGCGGACGGGUGAGUAACGCGUAAGAAUCUAACUUCAGGACGGGGACAACAGUUGGAAACGACUGCUAAUACCCGAUGUGCCGCAAGGUGAAAACUAAUUGGCCUGAAGAAGAGCUUGCGUCUGAUUAGCUAGUUGGUGGGGUAAGAGCCUACCAAGGCGACGAUCAGUAGCUGGUCUGAGAGGAUGAGCAGCCACACUGGGACUGAGACACGGCCCAGACUCCUACGGGAGGCAGCAGUGGGGAAUUUUCCGCAAUGGGCGAAAGCCUGACGGAGCAACGCCGCGUGAGGGAGGAAGGUCUUUGGAUUGUAAACCUCUUUUCUCAAGGAAGAAGUUCUGACGGUACUUGAGGAAUCAGCCUCGGCUAACUCCGUGCCAGCAGCCGCGGUAAUACGGGGGAGGCAAGCGUUAUCCGGAAUUAUUGGGCGUAAAGCGUCCGCAGGUGGUCAGCCAAGUCUGCCGUCAAAUCAGGUUGCUUAACGACCUAAAGGCGGUGGAAACUGGCAGACUAGAGAGCAGUAGGGGUAGCAGGAAUUCCCAGUGUAGCGGUGAAAUGCGUAGAGAUUGGGAAGAACAUCGGUGGCGAAAGCGUGCUACUGGGCUGUAUCUGACACUCAGGGACGAAAGCUAGGGGAGCGAAAGGGAUUAGAUACCCCUGUAGUCCUAGCCGUAAACGAUGGAUACUAGGCGUGGCUUGUAUCGACCCGAGCC
This 761-nucleotide ribosomal RNA is filed under the name uncultured cyanobacterium. RNAcentral's name for it is "bacterial SSU rRNA". It matches the Rfam family "Bacterial small subunit ribosomal RNA", at positions 39 to 842 of the family's 1533-position model. Lineage: Bacteria; Bacillati; Cyanobacteriota. The record is from RNAcentral.